Molecule: long non-coding RNA, 2035 nt
Organism: Odocoileus virginianus texanus
Lineage: Eukaryota; Metazoa; Chordata; Mammalia; Artiodactyla; Cervidae
Source: RefSeq, a predicted model, not a curated record
ACCCAGCAAGCCCUGGUGUUCCUGGGGACCUGGUCUGUUGAUGAGGAGACUAGAGUCUGUGAGAGCUCACUGCUGAGGGAUGCCUUGGUGCUGCGUGGCUAGGGGUGUCCUUGUGACAGAAACUCUCAGCAUGAGGAGUUCAGAGUGUGACAGAAAGAGCAAGAAAAGCUGUGGCUGUCAAUGCUCCUGGGUCUGGGACAAUCUGCAUGUGAGGGGGCACAAGGGGAAGUCCUGGCUGAAGAACUCGGGCUCUGGAGUCAGACUGCCUGCAUCUGAAUCCAGGCCAUACCAUGUACUGGGUGUGUAGUCUCCUCUAGAGAUGCCACUGCUAUGCACCUGGGUUUCCUUAGCUGAAAAGUGGUAAUAAUGCCUGUCCCUGGCUAAUGCUUGAGGAAUUAUUGCCUAGCUUAAAGAGUCAAUAGAUGCCAAAUGCUUAGAACAGCCCUGGUCCAUGGUUCCCAUGAACACAGCAACGGUAGCAACAAGAGCUCCCUCCUGCCCAGAAGUGUCUGCUUCUUUGAUGAAAAUUUCUAAUACUAUGGGGAAUUCACUGGUGGUUCAGUGGCUGGGGCUCCGCACUUCCUCUGCAGGGGGCAUAGGUUCAAAUCUGAUCUCUGGCUGGAGAACUAUGAUCCCACAUGCCACGUGGCAUGGCCUCUCCCCAAAAUUCUAUGAUAACAGCAACUAACAAUAACAAUGGUCACUGCUAUUAGUUAGCAUCCCUGAGGGCUAGUCAUUACUCAGAGUACCUAUGUAUCCUUUUUCACUUAACCUUAACAGGGAAUCUAUGACCUAGGGAUUGUUUUUCUUUACAUCUUAUAGAUGAAGAAACUAAGGCUGAGAAAAGCACAAGAAUUUGUACAGGAUCACACAGCUAAGGUGACUCUGAACAACUGUGAUCCCUUUGAUAGUCGAGACUCGGUGCUGUUUGUGCCCACUGCAGAAAUGGAGUAACUGAGGCCCAGAGGAAAAAAAAAGAUCCUGUCAGAGCCCAUCUCUGGUCCCCAGAUUGCUCAUCUGUCCAGUGGAGGAGUGGGACCAGCCUGACAUCUGGGGAGAUUUUACAGGAUCCUGAAAUCAAGAUUCCAAGAUGGCUUGAAAGCACAGGAGAGAAAUAGCUAAGAACAUCCUCACCUAUAAAAUGGACCAAGUCCCGGAGGGGAGGCUGCAGGGGCUGAGGGCUCACUUAGCGUCUCUCAGCCCUGGACCUGCAGGCUUCAAGGCCCAUGUUCUUUCCACUCAGCUGGCCCUCUGUGCCCCAUCUGUGAGCUGCGAGGGCCUCUCUUCAGGGACAGCGAGGGGAAAGAGAAGGGCAGAGGUUCUGGGGAACUGGACCCUGAUUCUUGCUCCCGGCUGGACCUUCUGAGCCCUUGGGAUGCAGCCCAGGAAGAGUCAUCUGUGACUUUAUCUUUCUUCCACAAUCAGAAGUGGGGGUCCUCCCCCAAGCCUCUCUUGGACUGUGAUUUACUCCAGAGAAGGUUCCCGGAGGCCUGCUCUGGUCCCUGCUGUGUGACCUUGGGCAGGUCUCCUUAACUCCUUACUGGGGGCAAUCUUCAAUAAGGCAAAGCCUCUUCAAGGCUACUGGUGGGUCAGCAAGAUGAUGGCUGAGAAAGAAUGUGGCUUCCAGUGACUGGGUGAUUUCCCUGUGGGGAAUUCCCUUGGGCUAAAAGUCUGGGUGCUAGGGUUCAGCAGCAGCUCCAGAAUUUCUACAGGGGAGGGACUUAGGGUUAGCCCUCUGGUUGAAAGGGGGCUGUGUGUGGUGGAAGCUGUAUUGCAUAGCAUAUUAUGUGAAAACAUCCAUGGGAGUGGGGUAGUUGGUUAGUGGGGAUCGCAGGGCCUGGGGGGAAGACUCCCCAAGGAAGUCCUUGCAUUGCCUCUGCUUCAAGCCCCAUCUCUGCUCUUGUCUUGCUGGGUCACCUUGGGUAAGUUCUAGUCCUGACCUGGUACCUUUCUGUAGGAUGAGUGUUUGUGUGUGAGAGUGUGUGCAUUGCUGAGUGAGAAUAAGAAAUGAUGGGGAUGGGGGUGGGACUUCUCU